UAGGGAAUCUUGCGCAAUGGACGCAAGCCUGACGGAGCAACGCCGCGUGGGUGAAGAAGGAUUUCGGUUCGUAAAACUCUGUUGUUAGGGAAGAACGACGCAUAGAGAAACUGUUAGACGGGUGACGGUAACUAACCAGAAAGCCACGGCGAAAUACGUGGCAGCAGCCGCGGUAAUAGGAAGGUGGCAAGCGUAGUCCGGAUUGAUGGGACGUAAAGCGAGCGGAGGCGGUCAAUUAAGGCAGAUGUGAAAGCCGCCGGCUAAACCGGGGGAUUUCAAUUGAAACUGGUUUACUUGAGUGAAGGAAAAGAGGGUGGAAUUCCAUGUGUAGCGGUGAAAUGCGUAGAUAUAUGGAGGAACACCAGUGGCGAAGGCGACCUUCUGGCCUGUACCUGACGCUGAGGCUCGAAAGCGUGGGUAGCAAACAGG
This 429-nucleotide ribosomal RNA is filed under the name Bacteroidota bacterium. Its description in RNAcentral is "Bacteroidetes bacterium partial 16S ribosomal RNA". It matches the Rfam family "Bacterial small subunit ribosomal RNA", at positions 355 to 776 of the family's 1533-position model. The record is from RNAcentral. Lineage: Bacteria; Pseudomonadati; Bacteroidota.